Ictalurus punctatus (channel catfish) is the source of this 707-nucleotide long non-coding RNA. The record is from Ensembl. Lineage: Eukaryota; Metazoa; Chordata; Actinopteri; Siluriformes; Ictaluridae.
UGUGGGUUUUUUUUCCAUGGCAUGUGUUGCGCCGUAAAAUCUAUUAAUUUCGCCAAAAUCCUUCGCAGUUAUUUAAUAGUUUGCUGUUCCUGGGAGUACUUUAUUCGUGUUAUAGCGCUCUUUUCUGGUUGGCAGCGGAUGUAUCGCGUCAUUUCCGGUUUCUCGUCAGUCGGCGUUGAGUUUGACAGAGAGAGACGUUGAGCUCGUCUGCGGGACAAAUAAACCUGAGUUCAACAAGAUACGCCGGUGUCCAGUGUCUACUGUGCACCAGAACAUGGCACGGUUCACCUGGAUCAGGUGGUAGAGUGGAUUGUCCACUAAUCGUAGGGUUGGCGGUUCAAUUCCCGGCCCACGUGACUCCACAUGCUGAAGUCCUUGGGCAAGACACUGAACCCCAAGUUGCUCCUGAUGGCAAGUUAUGCAUGGCAGCCUUGCAUGGCAGCUCUGCUACCAUAGGUGUGUGAAUGGGUGAAUAAGACACAGUGUAAAGCGCUAUAUAAGUUUACAGGUUACAGGUUCAUGAGCAAUUCUUGACCCAACUUGUCAAUUCUUGACCUAACUUGUCCUCAUGCGGGUAUAGAUAGUAUUUAAUCGUUACUAAUUUGACGAAAUCAAGAAUCCAUAUUAUUGGAUUAUUUGGGUGGAUGAUGGUGGUAGCUACUUUCUCGGAAAUUAGCCGGCUAGUGCUCUGUCUAUCGGUUAUAACA